Molecule: non-coding RNA, 46 nt
Organism: Schistosoma curassoni
Lineage: Eukaryota; Metazoa; Platyhelminthes; Trematoda; Strigeidida; Schistosomatidae
Source: Rfam
AUCCAACUGACGAGUCCCAAAAUAGGACGAAACACGCGUCCUGGAU